UUCAGACGUGUGCUCUUCCAAUCACAUGUUAACACCAGUUUAAGGUAAUAUUUUUGGUCGCACGAUGCUAACACCCCUAAAAUAUUCACGCGUUCAUUUCAAUUUCUCAGCAAGCUCCUCAAGUAUUCUAAAAUAAACACACGAUAAUUUUAGUCUCCUACAGCCAAUUAAUCUUCAGUAUUUUGCAAACGCUCUCUUGUGGAUGCGAUUUCUCUUUUUAUGCAGUUUAAUGCUCUUCGUUUGGCUCUGUACGCAGUAUUACACUUUUCACCACUUCAGGAGUCUGCAAGAUGUUGUGACACAUAACGAGUAAGAGUCAAAGGAACCACGACUCUUUAGUGUCAAUGACCAAUAUUCAUACAAAAUUAUGAGUUUGCUGGUAUAGUGGUUGAUAGGAUUUGAUUUUAAUUUUUACAACAGAACUGAGAAUGGGAAAAGAGACCGGAUGAUGUUGACGUAACUAUAAAAAUUAGCCUUAAUGAAUUUUUCGAGGGCAUCUUAUGCAAGGGCAUUGUUGUGAUACCACAGACGCAGCUUCAUAAAAAUC
Diprion similis is the source of this 547-nucleotide long non-coding RNA. RefSeq lists it as uncharacterized. The transcript has 3 exons. The record is from RefSeq and is a predicted model, not a curated record. Lineage: Eukaryota; Metazoa; Arthropoda; Insecta; Hymenoptera; Diprionidae.